CCGUCGUCAGUUCGUACUGUGAAGCAUCCUGUUAAGUCAGGCAACGAGCCGAGACCCACGCCAACAGUUGCCAGCUCGUCCUCCGGGAUGGUGGGACACUGUUGGGACCGCCUCUGCUAAAGAGGAGGAAGGAAUGGGCAACGGUAGGUCAGCAUGCCCCGAAUUAUCUGGGCUACACGCGGGCUACAAUGGGUGGGACAAUGGGUAUCGACACCGAAAGGUGAAGGCAAUCUCCUAAACCCACCCGUAGUUCGGAUUGUGGGCUGCAACUCGCCCACAUGAAGCUGGAAUCUGUAGUAAUCGUGUCUCAAAAUGGCACGGUGAAUAUGUCCCUGCUCCUU
Molecule: ribosomal RNA, 341 nt
Filed under: uncultured Methanomicrobiales archaeon
Lineage: Archaea; Methanobacteriati; Methanobacteriota; Methanomicrobia; Methanomicrobiales
Description: bacterial SSU rRNA
Rfam family: Archaeal small subunit ribosomal RNA
Source: RNAcentral